ACUGGUGCGCGAGAUGAGUAUUCUAAGGCGCUUGAGAGAACUCAGGAGAAGGAACUCGGCAAAUUGACACCGUAACUUCGGAAGAAGGUGUGCCCUAUUAGUGUGAAGUGAACAACGGAGCAUGAAUGGGUUGCAAAAAAUCGGUGGCUGCGACUGUUUAUUAAAAACACAGCACUCUGCAAACACGAAAGUGGACGUAUAGGGUGUGACGCCUGCCCGGUGCUGGAAGAUUAAAUGAUGGGGUGCAAGCUCUUGAUUGAAGUCCCAGUAAACGGCGGCCGUAACGAUAACGGUCCUAAGGUAGCGAAAUUCCUUGUCGGGUAAGUUCCGACCUGCACGAAUGGCGUAACGAUGGCCACACUGUCUCCUCCUGAGACUCAGCGAAGUUGAAAUGUUUGUGAUGAUGCAAUCUCCCCGCGGAAAGACGGAAAGACCCCAUGAACCUUUACUGUAGCUUUGUAUUGGACUUUGAACAGAUCUGUGUAGGAUAGGUGGGAGGCUUUGAAGCAGGGUCGCUAGAUCUUGUGGAGCCAACGUUGAAAUACCACCCUGGUGUGUUUGAGGUUCUAACCUAGGUCCAUUAUCUGGAUCGGGGACAGUGCAUGGUAGGCAGUUUGACUGGGGCGGUCUCCUCCCAAAGCGUAACGGAGGAGUUCGAAGGUACGCUAGUUACGGUCGGACAUCGUGACGAUAGUGCAAUGGCAUAAGCGUGCUUAACUGCGAGACUGACAAGUCGAGCAGAUGCGAAAGCAGGACAUAGUGGUCCGGUGGUUCUGUAUGGAAGGGCAUCGCUCAACGGAUAAAAGGUACUCUGGGGAUAACAGGCUGAUACCGCCCAAGGGUUCAUAUCGACGGCGGUGUUUGGCACCUCGAUGUCGGCUCAUCUCAUCCUGGGGCUGUAGCCGGUCCCAAGGGUAUGGCUGUUCGCCAUUUAAAGAGGUACGUGAGCUGGGUUUAAAACGUCGUGAGACAGUUUGGUCCCUAUCUUCCGUGGGCGCUGCAGAUUUGAGGAAGCCUGCUCCUAGUACGAGAGGACCGGAGUGGACACACCUCUGGUGUAUCGGUUGUCACGCCAGUGGCAUUGCCGAGUAGCUAAGUGUGGAAGAGAUAACCGCUGAAAGCAUCUAAGCGGGAAACUCGUUUCAAGAUGAGAUCUGCCGGGGCCUUGAGCCCCCUGAAGAGUCGUUCGAGACCAGGACGUUGAUAGGUCAGGUGUGGAAGCGCAGUAAUGCGUUAAGCUAACUGAUACUAAUUGCUCGUGCGGCUUGACCCC
This 1273-nucleotide ribosomal RNA is filed under the name metagenome. Its description in RNAcentral is "bacterial LSU rRNA". It matches the Rfam family "Bacterial large subunit ribosomal RNA", at positions 1659 to 2925 of the family's 2925-position model. The record is from RNAcentral.